Molecule: long non-coding RNA, 805 nt
Filed under: Phascolarctos cinereus (koala)
Lineage: Eukaryota; Metazoa; Chordata; Mammalia; Diprotodontia; Phascolarctidae
Description: lncRNA (ENSPCIG00000037071.1)
Source: RNAcentral
AUUUAUUUGUUUGUUUGUUUGUUUAUUUUUGUUUGUGUUUGUCCUUGGUUCUUGAAGAGGACUGUGACAUCAGGGAGAGGAUGACAUGACUUGCAAUUGACUUUGAUUUGAGUGAGGGAGGGCUGUGCAAGGUCACCAGCCUUACUUUCUCCUCCAGAGCCAUCUGGGUCCAGUGGCCAAAUGUUCAUCAGGAUGACUGAGAUGACCAGGUCUUUAUUAUCACCUGGCUGGAUUAUUGCAAUAGCCUUCUAACAAGCAAUUGGGGUUAAGUGACUUGCCCAGGGUCACACAGCUAGUAAGUGUCAAGUGUUGGUCUGAGGCCAGAUUUGAACUCAGGUCCUCCUGACUUCAGGGCCUGUGCUCUACUCACUGUGCCACCUACCUGCCCCGACAGAUAAAGAAAUUGAGUCCUGCUCAUUUUACAGAUGAGGAAACUGAGACCAACAGGGAUAAAUGACUUCUCCAGGGCCACACAGCUAGCAAGUUAUCUGAGGCCAGAUUUGAACUCAGGAAGACUCAUCUUCCUGACUCCAGGCCUGGAGCUUUAUCCGCUUUGCAACCUAACUGCCCAGGAGAGUGGUCUUUGUACUAGACAUAACAGACUAUGGCUGACUGAGAUGAGUAAGAAGAUAGAGAGCACCUUGAUGAACUCAUCAUCUGCCCCAGAUGGACUCCAUUCUUGGAGUCAAUGAAGUCCAAUGGCAAGACAAAAGUCAAGAUGCCUGUCGAUGGCCUGGAACUGGUGGAUGACCUUGGCCUUUCACUGGAUUUAGGAAAUAGAUCAAGUUUCCCCUACCAAGGGAGU